UAGGGAAUCUUCCGCAAUGGGCGAAAGCCUGACGGCGCAACGCCGCGUGAGUGAUUAAGGUCUUCGGAUCGUAAAACUCUGUUAUUAGGGAAGAACAAAUGUGUAAGUAACUAUGCACGUCUUGACGGUACCUAAUCAGAAAGCCACGGCUAACUACGUGCCAGCAGCCGCGGUAAUACGUAGGUGGCAAGCGUUAUCCGGAAUUAUUGGGCGUAAAGCGCGCGUAGGCGGUUUUUUAAGUCUGAUGUGAAAGCCCACGGCUCAACCGGGGAGGGUCAGUGGAAACUGGAAAACUAGAGUGCAGAAGAGGAAAGUGGAAUUCCAUGUGUAGCAGUAAAAUGCGCAGAGAGAUGGAGGAACACCAGUGGCGAAGGCGACUUUCUGGUCUGUAACUGACGCUGAUGUGCGAAGGCGUGGGGAUCAAACAGG
This 429-nucleotide ribosomal RNA is filed under the name Actinomycetes bacterium. Its description in RNAcentral is "Actinobacteria bacterium partial 16S ribosomal RNA". It matches the Rfam family "Bacterial small subunit ribosomal RNA", at positions 355 to 776 of the family's 1533-position model. Lineage: Bacteria; Bacillati; Actinomycetota; Actinomycetes. The record is from RNAcentral.